AAUAUUGCACAAUGGGGGAAACCCUGAUGCAGCCAUGCCGCGUGUGUGAAGAAGGCCUUCGGGUUGUAAAGCACUUUCAGUAGGGAGGAAGGUAGUGUAGUUAACACCUGCAUUAUUUGACGUUACCUACAGAAGAAGCACCGGCUAACUCCGUGCCAGCAGCCGCGGUAAUACGGAGGGUGCGAGCGUUAAUCGGAAUUACUGGGCGUAAAGCGCAUGCAGGCGGCCUGUUAAGUCAGAUGUGAAAGCCCGGGGCUUAACCUCGGAAUUGCAUUUGAAACUGGCAGGCUAGAGUCUUGUAGAGGGGGUAGAAUUUCUGGUGUAGCGGUGAAAUGCGUAGAGAUCUGAAGGAAUACCAGUGGCGAAGGCGGCCCCCUGGACAAAGACUGACGCUCAGAUGCGAAAGCGUGGGGAGCAAACAGGAUUAGAUACCCUGGUAG
Molecule: ribosomal RNA, 440 nt
Filed under: uncultured bacterium
Lineage: Bacteria
Description: bacterial SSU rRNA
Rfam family: Bacterial small subunit ribosomal RNA
Source: RNAcentral